RNAcentral lists this ribosomal RNA (429 nucleotides) under Chloroflexota bacterium. RNAcentral describes it as "Chloroflexi bacterium partial 16S ribosomal RNA". It matches the Rfam family "Bacterial small subunit ribosomal RNA", at positions 355 to 776 of the family's 1533-position model. The record is from RNAcentral. Lineage: Bacteria; Bacillati; Chloroflexota.
UGGUGAAUAUUUCACAAUGGGCGCAAGCCUGAUUCAGCCAUGCCGCGUGUAUGAAGAAGGCCUUCGGGUUGUAAAGUACUUUCUGCGGGGAGGAAGGGAGUAAAGUUAAUACCUUUGCUCAUUGACGUUACCCGCAGAAGAAGCACCGGCUAACUCCGUGCCAGCAGCCGCGGUAAUACGGAGGGUGCAAGCGUUAAUCGGAAUUACUGGGCGUAAAGCGCACGCGGGCGGUUUGUUAAGUCAGAUGUGAAAUCCCCGGGCUCAACCUGGGAACUGCAUCUGAAACUGGCAAGCUUGGGUCUCGUAGAGGGGGGUAGAAUUCCAGGUGUAGCGGUGAAAUGCGUAGGGAUCUGGAGGAAUACCGGUGGGGAAGGCGGCCCCCUGGACGAAGACUGACGCGAAGGUGCGAAAGGGGGGGGAGCAAACAGG